AGUCGAGCGAGCUUGCCUAGAUGAUUUUAGUGCUUGCACUAAAUGACACUAGACACAAGCGGGCGGCGGACGGGUGAGUAACACGUGGGUAACCUGCCCAAGAGACUGGGAUAACACCUGGAAACAGAUGCUAAUACCGGAUAACAACACUAGACGCAUGUCUAGAGUUUGAAAGAUGGUUCUGCUAUCACUCUUGGAUGGACCUGCGGUGCAUUAGCUAGUUGGUAAGGUAACGGCUUACCAAGGCAAUGAUGCAUAGCCGAGUUGAGAGACUGAUCGGCCACAUUGGGACUGAGACACGGCCCAAACUCCUACGGGAGGCAGCAGUAGGGAAUCUUCCACAAUGGACGAAAGUCUGAUGGAGCAACGCCGCGUGAGUGAAGAAGGGUUUCGGCUCGUAAAGCUCUGUUGGUAGUGAAGAAAGAUAGAGGUAGUAACUGGCCUUUAUUUGACGGUAAUUACUUAGAAAGUCACGGCUAACUACGUGCCAGCAGCCGCGGUAAUACGUAGGUGGCAAGCGUUGUCCGGAUUUAUUGGGCGUAAAGCGAGUGCAGGCGGUUCAAUAAGUCUGAUGUGAAAGCCUUCGGCUCAACCGGAGAAUUGCAUCAGAAACUGUUGAACUUGAGUGCAGAAGAGGAGAGUGGAACUCCAUGUGUAGCGGUG
Molecule: ribosomal RNA, 663 nt
Filed under: uncultured bacterium
Lineage: Bacteria
Description: bacterial SSU rRNA
Rfam family: Bacterial small subunit ribosomal RNA
Source: RNAcentral